CCUACGGGAGGCAGCAGUGGGGAAUCUUGCGCAAUGGGCGAAAGCCUGACGCAGCAACGCCGCGUGCGGGAAGAAGGCUUUCGGGCUGUAAACCGCUUUCAGCAGGAACGAAAAUGACGGUACCUGCAGAAGAAGGAGCGGCCAACUAUGUGCCAGCAGCCGCGGUGAUACAUAGGCUUCAAGCGUUGUCCGGAUUUAUUGGGCGUAAAGAGUUCGUAGGCGGUCAAGUAAGUCGGGUGUGAAAAUUCUGGGCUCAACCCAGAGACGCCACCCGAUACUGCUUAACUUGAGUUCGAUAGGGGAGUGGGGAAUUCCUAGUGUAGCGGUGAAAUGCGCAGAUAUUAGGAGGAACACCGGUGGCGAAGGCGCCACUCUGGAUCGAUACUGACGCUGAGGAACGAAAGCAUGGGUAGCAAACAGGAUUAGAUACCCUGGUAGUCCAUGCCGUAAACGGUGGGCACUAGGUGUGGGUUUCUAUUAACGAAAUCCGCGCCGUCGCUAACGCAUUAAGUGCCCGCCUGGGGAGUACGGUCGCAAGACUAAAACUUAAAUAGAAAUUGAACGG
Molecule: ribosomal RNA, 565 nt
Filed under: uncultured bacterium
Lineage: Bacteria
Description: bacterial SSU rRNA
Rfam family: Bacterial small subunit ribosomal RNA
Source: RNAcentral